RNAcentral lists this transfer RNA (71 nucleotides) under Mycoplasmopsis gallinarum. Its description in RNAcentral is "Mycoplasma gallinarum tRNA". It matches the Rfam family "tRNA". Rfam says of the family: Transfer RNA (tRNA) molecules are approximately 80 nucleotides in length. The record is from Rfam by way of RNAcentral. Lineage: Bacteria; Bacillati; Mycoplasmatota; Mycoplasmoidales; Metamycoplasmataceae.
GGAGAUGUAGUUCAAUGGUAGAACUUCAGCCUUCCAAGCUGACUAUGCGGGUUCGAUUCCCGUCAUCUCCU